This is a non-coding RNA of Schistosoma mansoni, 78 nucleotides long. The record is from Rfam. NCBI's taxonomy places the organism in Eukaryota, Metazoa, Platyhelminthes, Trematoda, Strigeidida, Schistosomatidae.
AUCAAUUGAUCAGUCCUAAACAUCCAUGGGAAGAUUUAAGUAAACAAUACCAAAUAGGACGAAACGCGCGUCCUGGAU